CCAUUUUAACAAAAAAAAAAAAACAGCAGCCCUAAAUUAAUAUUGCUAGGGCUCUUAGUGUUUGCCGAAUCCCCCAUUUUGCUUGGUAAACGGCGAUGGACCAGCAUCGAUCAAAUUCAAUGCGCGCCCAUACAAAAAUGGUUCUAUGGGAGCACGGGACUACUGUACGGUGAAGAAGGCCAUGCAGGUCUGGCAUGUUCCAGAAACUUCACUGUUUUGGGCCUGCUUUGCAAUCGGAUAGUUGGGGUAAAAACUACUGCCGCGGCACUAAUAUGAAACCUGCAUCUAGCUCAUUCGGGUCUAUUAGCCCAUUUUUUGCAUUUGGGCCCCUUUUGGGUUGUUUGUAAACUGGGUUGGGAUGUGGGUUUAUUUAGUAUUUUGAAAUUUGUAAAUGGACUUUUUUAGACUAUUUAGUCUUGGACUUUAUUUAUUUAUUUGCGUUUACUUAUAAAUAAAUUAAAUGGGCCCGGGCAAAAUUGGUUGGCUACAAA
Long non-coding RNA from Gossypium arboreum, 491 nucleotides. RefSeq lists it as uncharacterized. Lineage: Eukaryota; Viridiplantae; Streptophyta; Magnoliopsida; Malvales; Malvaceae. The transcript has 2 exons. The record is from RefSeq and is a predicted model, not a curated record.